Molecule: ribosomal RNA, 208 nt
Filed under: uncultured Gammaproteobacteria bacterium
Lineage: Bacteria; Pseudomonadati; Pseudomonadota; Gammaproteobacteria
Also listed under: 1 other name
Description: uncultured gamma proteobacterium partial 16S ribosomal RNA
Rfam family: Bacterial small subunit ribosomal RNA
Source: RNAcentral
CACGCAGGCGGUCGGAUAAGUCAGAUGUGAAAGCCCCGGGCUCAACCUGGGAACUGCAUUUGAAACUGUCCGACUAGAGUCUUGUAGAGGGGGGUAGAAUUCCAGGUGUAGCGGUGAAAUGCGUAGAGAUCUGGAGGAAUACCGGUGGCGAAGGCGGCCCCCUGGACAAAGACUGACGCUCAGGUGCGAAAGCGUGGGGAGCAAACAG